AGGGAACAUCGAAAAGGAAACAAUAACCAGGGAUAUCGGCGUUGGAGCCAAAUUCACGCGCCUUCUGAAGAACCGCGUGGGAAGCACAGAGGAGGAGGGCCGCGCAGUUCGGGAGGUUCUAAGGCAGGAGAGCCCAGGCCAUCUGGUCUCAUCAGGCAGUGGUUGGGCCUUGGCUUGCAGCCAGGGCCUCUUCCCAAGCUGCUCUGGAAAAAAAAAAAGCAACUGUGCGAAGGAUUCACCUAUGCCUCGGUUUCAAGCCCUAAGAUCACUGCCUGUCUCCCCCCACACCUUCCUCAGCAUCACCCCCUGAGCACUUGUUCAUGGCACAAUUCCUGGGCGCCCCCUCUGUGCCAUGGCCUGUGUUUGCGGCUGGGAGGAAGGAGGGAAGACAGGAUCCUGUCCGCAGGUCCGAGCAACUAUGGCCGGAGCUGUCAUCAGCGUCCAGAUGGGGCAGUCGUGUCUGCCACCUCCUUCCCCCUCCUGCUGCCUGUGGCCUUUAUUUUCCAGACUGAGCUUUAAUGGUAAGGUUUUUCACCUGGUGAAUGUGCUUUGGGUGAAGUCUGCUCCAGGUUGAGAUAUAAAUAGUGUUUAUGUAUAUGUUAUUCAAAAUUCUGCAGAACCGGGGCUCUUCCCUAAGGCUGAGUACAGCUCUCUCUUGCCCUGGUGGUAGACUGCCUGCCUCCCCACUAGACUGAAAAAACCAUUUGAAGGCUCUCUCCCCGCCUCAGGCCCCACAGUGCCCAAGGAACCACAGCGGUGAGCCCCGUGCCUGGCACAGAGUGGGUUCACAGUAGAGCCCAUCUGACAGGCAGAGGCCCCUCAGAAAGGAGAGGCAGCACUGGUCCCACAGGCCCCCAGGGCCCUGCCACUUCUCUCCCGAACUUCCUCAUCCGUAGAUCAGAGAUCAUAAUGUCCUUCUUGUGGGAUCCCUGGGAGGAUCACAGACUGUGAAUGUAAAACCAAAACAACAAGUGGCAAGGGGCCCUCUCGUAAAGAGUUUUCUAGAGAAUCAUUUUGGAAUGGAGUUGAAAUUUCCAGGAAAAAGGUUCUUCUGCCAACAAACAUUUUUUGACCACCUCUGUGCUAGGUGCCCUGGCACCUGGGAGUACCUGAGAACAAGGGAACCAAGACUGAAAGGCAAGGAAGGUGAGCAGAAGUGAGUGGUCAUGAGCAGGGCAGAUGACACUGAGGGGCCAGACAAGGAGCCAGGGAUGUGGGUGCUCAGUAAGCAUUUUCCCGGAUCCAGGGACAGACACAGAGGGCACCAUCUCCUCUGCCCUCAGGUGGGGACUGAGUCGGGCGGAAGGGCCGUGCAGAGAUUCACC
This 1325-nucleotide long non-coding RNA is filed under the name Felis catus (domestic cat). RNAcentral describes it as "lncRNA (ENSFCAG00000050964.1)". The record is from RNAcentral. Lineage: Eukaryota; Metazoa; Chordata; Mammalia; Carnivora; Felidae.